RNAcentral lists this ribosomal RNA (492 nucleotides) under uncultured bacterium. Its description in RNAcentral is "partial 16S ribosomal RNA". It matches the Rfam family "Bacterial small subunit ribosomal RNA", at positions 29 to 507 of the family's 1533-position model. The record is from RNAcentral.
AGUGAACGCUGGCGGUAGGCCUAACACAUGCAAGUCGAACGGCAGCACAGUAAGAGCUUGCUCUUACGGGUGGCGAGUGGCGGACGGGUGAGGAAUACAUCGGAAUCUACUUUUUCGUGGGGGAUAACGUAGGGAAACUUACGCUAAUACCGCAUACGACCUACGGGUGAAAGCAGGGGAUCUUCGGACCUUGCGCGAUUGAAUGAGCCGAUGUCGGAUUAGCUAGUUGGCGGGGUAAAGGCCCACCAAGGCGACGAUCCGUAGCUGGUCUGAGAGGAUGAUCCGCCACACUGGGACUGAGACACGGGCCAGACUCCUACGGGAGGCAGCAGUUGGGAAUUUUGGACAAUGGGGGCAAGCCUGAUCCAGCCAUACCGCGUGGGUGAAGAAGGCCUUCGGGUUGUAAAGCCCUUUUGUUGGGAAAGAAAAGCAGCAGGUUAAUACCCCGCUGUUCUGACGGUACCCAAAGAAUAAGCACCGGCUAACUUCGUG